Molecule: transfer RNA, 57 nt
Filed under: Loxodonta africana (African savanna elephant)
Lineage: Eukaryota; Metazoa; Chordata; Mammalia; Proboscidea; Elephantidae
Rfam family: tRNA
About the family: Transfer RNA (tRNA) molecules are approximately 80 nucleotides in length. Their secondary structure includes four short double-helical elements and three loops (D, anti-codon, and T loops).
Source: Rfam by way of RNAcentral
UGGCACAGUGGUUAAGCGUUUGGUUGCUAACCAAAAGGUUGGCAGUUCGAAUCUACC